RNAcentral lists this ribosomal RNA (465 nucleotides) under Vreelandella stevensii. RNAcentral's name for it is "partial 16S ribosomal RNA". It matches the Rfam family "Bacterial small subunit ribosomal RNA", at positions 338 to 795 of the family's 1533-position model. Lineage: Bacteria; Pseudomonadati; Pseudomonadota; Gammaproteobacteria; Oceanospirillales; Halomonadaceae. The record is from RNAcentral.
CCUACGGGUGGCUGCAGUGGGGAAUAUUGGACAAUGGGGGGAACCCUGAUCCAGCCAUGCCGCGUGUGUGAAGAAGGCCCUCGGGUUGUAAAGCACUUUCAGUGAGGAAGAACGCCUGGUGGUUAAUACCCAUCAGGAAAGACAUCACUCACAGAAGAAGCACCGGCUAACUCCGUGCCAGCAGCCGCGGUAAUACGGAGGGUGCGAGCGUUAAUCGGAAUUACUGGGCGUAAAGCGCGCGUAGGUGGCUUGAUAAGCCGGUUGUGAAAGCCCCGGGCUCAACCUGGGAACGGCAUCCGGAACUGUCAAGCUAGAGUGCAGGAGAGGAAGGUAGAAUUCCCGGUGUAGCGGUGAAAUGCGUAGAGAUCGGGAGGAAUACCAGUGGCGAAGGCGGCCUUCUGGACUGACACUGACACUGAGGUGCGAAAGCGUGGGUAGCAAACAGGAUUAGAUACCCGAGUAGUC